UCCUGGGUAGCUUAGCUGGUAAAAAAUUUGCCUGCAAUGCAGGAGACCCUGGUUCAAUUCCUGGGUCAGGAA
RNAcentral lists this transfer RNA (72 nucleotides) under Ovis aries (sheep). It matches the Rfam family "tRNA". From Rfam's summary of the family: Transfer RNA (tRNA) molecules are approximately 80 nucleotides in length. Lineage: Eukaryota; Metazoa; Chordata; Mammalia; Artiodactyla; Bovidae. The record is from Rfam by way of RNAcentral.